Molecule: long non-coding RNA, 227 nt
Filed under: Durio zibethinus
Lineage: Eukaryota; Viridiplantae; Streptophyta; Magnoliopsida; Malvales; Malvaceae
Description: long non-coding RNA (DZIB_LNC000301)
Source: RNAcentral
UUUUCUUCGUUUGAUUUUCAGCAACUGAUUUAUGUUCUUUGAAUUUAUCAAAAGCUUCAUAUUUUGUUCUCAUUUGAUACACGAAAGUAUAAUGAAAACUAUAAUCUACAAAUAUCAGAAUGUAUGAGUUCUAACAAUUUUGUAUUUCUUUUAACUUUAAGAGAAGGUUUCUUAGCCAUUUUUGCUCUGACAUAGUUUUCACAUUUUUAAUGCCACGAUUUUUUUGC